CCUCUCUCCACGUCCACGGCGCCGAGUCUCGCCACGGUGGCGCAGGCGCCAGGGAGGUUCCCCGGCUUUGCCGCGCGGAGGAAGUCCCGGUUACGCAGAGCGCGCUGGGGCAGGGCUGACCUUCCCCUUUCUCUACUUCACUGGCCUCCUCCAGACGUGGUGGUUGCGCCCUUUCGGCCUCGCUUUCCGUUUUUUGGCUUCAUCCCCUAGAUCUGCAAACAGUUCCUCGUGUUUCUUCCGUUAGCCGGGAAACGCGAACUGCAGCGUUUGGGACCCGGGUUUGCGCGUGUGGAAAGCAAAAGGGGUUACUCUGCUGGAGUUCGACAUUGCAAAUAAAGGUCUUUAUCCCCGGCGGUUCUACAAAAUUAGUUCUGCAGGGAUUCUGGUUGAAAGAAGCGUUAAAGUGGGCCUUGUAGGAGUCAGCAAUAAUCCAAUUUUACAUGGGUGCAGGUGGCUGCCUGUGUCUAGCGCUUUCACACAUCUCAUAUCUUCAUCCACGCCGUGGGUAUUUUUUUUCCACGGUGUGUUUCUGUUGCUGCCUCCAGUAUAUUGCUUAAUCAUCCUACCUGGUAAUUAUUUAUGCAUUUUUCUCCUACUCUCGACUCAGCUCCUAGGGAAUAAAAACACAUUAACUUAUCUUUGUGCCCACAGCACCCACCAAGUAUUUCCAUCACGUAAUACUGCCUCUAGAAAGGCAGGAGGAGAAGCAGUCACGCUAAGGAUCUAGGCAAGCCAGAUCUUUUGUCCGGUUUUAGGAGGUGGCCAGCCCUUACUUAUUCCACAAGUGUUUUUCCAGAAACUCAGACUUGAUAUUGCCUCAAGUCCAAGGCAGUGUGCUUCCCCCACUCACAUAUCACUAAUAGUAGCUAACAUUUGUUCAGAUCCCUGUAUGUACUCUGCCACUGUUUUAAAUGUUACACCCGGGUUACCUCAUUUAAUCCUUACAACUGCCCUGUGAGGUAGGUACUAUUAUUAUCUCUACUUUGUAGAUGGGAUUCACCGAGGCACAGACGGUUAAAAAACCUAGCCCAAAUAACACAAAUAAACAGCAGAGCAUGCAGUGCUAGAGUCUGCAUUCUUAACAAUUGCUAUAUUCUCCCUCUCCGUGAAUGUGGGCUGAGAUGCUGAAACAGGCAUGUGCUGUGGGGGAGAAAAAGCUUUGUCCAACCAAGUGCUUUCUAAUGUCCAGAUGACAUAGAGCUAGGAUUUCCUAAUGUCUUUUUUCCCCUAUUUUUCUCUCCAUUUCAGGGUUGAGUUUGUGCAUCGAUUGUGAACACAACAGGCAGCAGGCUAUAAUGGUGGUCCUGGCUGGAGUAGUUUUCACAGACUUCAGUAAUCUGUGGAGAUGAACGGGCAGUUCUCUGUAGUUUUCACAGAUCACUGCCAGUUCGUUUUGAGGCCUUCAGGAGUGAAGACCUGGCUCAUCAUCACUCUUUGUUGUUUUGUUAAAUUUAUUUACACCCUACUUUAUUCCAGAGGAAAGGAUUUAACGUAGUUUACAUAAAUGUGUACAUCAGGGUAAAUUAAAAAUAAGUACAGAGAAAAAUAGGACAAAAGAAAACCGUGAGUGUGAAAGAUAAGAUUAAGCCAGCAGUUUUGUAUGCAAAAUGCAUGGUGUAAGGUCCUAUUGGUUUGCUGGAGGUAGGCCACACAUAUGACUCUCAGUUUUCUAGCAACCAAGAAAAAGAUCAGUUGCAAUCGGAGUAGGUGUUUUGGCUAAGCUGGAACUAGGACUUGAAUAUAGCAGCUUGUAGAGUUAUACCACUUGCCCAAAUCUCUUCCAUGAGCCUCUUUAAGUGUAACAGAAUGCCUGGGAGCACGUAAAUGCUCCUACUUAGAUGCCUACUUAGCCUCUAAUUUUCAUGGGGCCCAUGAAUCCCAUGAAAAAGAACUUUGAACCCUGUCCACAAUUAGAGUUCAGGUAUACGCAGACAUGUUUAAAGACAAGGGACACCCAAAGGAAAGAUUGCACAGAGAGAAAGUGAGCAUCCGAGAGAAAAUCACCACAAGUGAGGCAGAGGGAGGCCGGUCUCAGCAGAGUUUUGGAGGUCGUGAGAAGAAGAGGUAGGAGAUAGGAGAGUGGUUCCGAGUACUUGCCUGCUGAUGUUACCUUCUCCACCCCCACCAGGUUUUCCAGUGCCUGGAGUCUUGGGCAGGAAUGGGCCACUGUAAGAAAGAGCUUUAUCACUAGGGCCUCAGCCAACUUUUCUGUGGGAUAUCCCUCCAAAAUAAUUAAGAGUUCAGAAUGCUUCAGAUUUUGAAGUGAAACUGGUACAUAUAUUAAGUGUUACUUAAUAACCCGAUAGUUUCUAGGGCAGCUCACCAUAAUCCCAAGUAUUAGCCACCACCCUCACCCCCUUCAGAGUAAAAUGUGUUUCCUGAAGGAAGUUGGGAAAAUGAAGAAAAAAAAUACAAAAAUCACCUAUAAUCUUACCAGUCAUAGAUGGCAGUUUUCCUGUCUUAUUUCUGAAUAAUGGUUGUUAAACAUUUGCCAGCACACCAUAAGGCUUAGGGAGGCAUCUGGGUCAUGCAUGUUAAUAUCCUUGGGUAAUUCCAGAAAUCUCUAUGAAGGGAAACUCCUGUUAUUUAUCUAGACUUCCUGAUUGCAAGGGGUUUGGGCAUCAUGAUUUAGGGGUCUUAAUAAAAUUAUUAUUUUAUUUUUACUAAUAGAUAAUGUCUGUGCCUAUCAGAUAAAGGCAAACCAGUGCUCAGAGGAACCCAACCAUCUCUGAAUUGAGACCAGAGAGCUGUCUCUAUGGAUAGUCCUUAGAGAAGGCAUUUCGGAACACAGUAAACAGCAGCCUGGUGACUCCGAUUACAGGGCCAGUUGCCUUUGUUACAAUAAAAGCAAGUCAUCUACACAGCAGGAAAAUUUUGGGUGAGGAGGAGCAGAAUAUGGGUGGUUCUGGCAGCGAGACAGUCUUCAGGAAUGAGAAGGAGAGGUCAUCCCCAGCUACCUCCAGGAGAAAGGUAGGGAAUGCCUUCCCUGCACAUCUGAGGGGCUUCUUGGCCAGACAGACAUUCACAAUAAGCAACUCUCUUUUGUCCACAUUCCUUUUUUAAAAAUUUUUAUUUUCGGUUUGGUGGUACAUGUGAGGGUUUGUUACAUAGAUAAACACAUGUCAUCAGGGUUUGUUGUACAUAUAUUACAUCACCCAGG
This 3160-nucleotide long non-coding RNA is filed under the name Homo sapiens (human). Its description in RNAcentral is "HSALNT0301402". The record is from RNAcentral. Lineage: Eukaryota; Metazoa; Chordata; Mammalia; Primates; Hominidae.